Molecule: long non-coding RNA, 765 nt
Filed under: Homo sapiens (human)
Lineage: Eukaryota; Metazoa; Chordata; Mammalia; Primates; Hominidae
Description: non-protein coding LINC01133:9
Source: RNAcentral
GAAAAGCUGGUCCUGCUGUGGUGGAGAGAAUGGAGGAAAGAUAAUAAAAGGCCAAACCUUUGCUCCAACUUUCUCCUUAGCUUCCCUUUGGAUCUGGAAAGCUGGGGACCCACACGGCAGAGCCAUGGUACUGGAGGAGCCAUUAACAACGAGGCUCCUUCUGUAAGGUUGCCUGGAUACUGCAUCUGGCUGACAGAGUCCCCAGACAGAACUUGAAUAGGCACUGCCAGGGUGUGUACUUCUAUGACUCUCCUUUUGCAAUGGGCCCACACCACCCACCUCAUUUUUCUAAUAAGAGCUUUCAAUAAACCUCUCUUUCUUGAAGUUACCUGAGAAUGGAUCCAUUCCCUGCAACUGAAGAUUCUAAGGAACUGGGUUUCUCAGUAUACAAUGGGAAUGGUUGGGAGGAGGUAAAGAGUAGAAGACAGUAUCAAGAAUCCAGAGCCCAGCACCUGUAGUCCUAACUAUUCAGAUUCCUUGAGCCCAGGAGUUUGAGUCCAGCCUGGACAACAUAUUGAGACCCCCAUCUCUCUAAAAAAAAAGAGAAAGAAAGAAGGAAAGAAAAAAAGAAAGAAAGAAAGAAAGAAAGAAAGAAAGAAAGAAAGAAAGAAAGAGAAAGAAAGAAGGAAAGAAGGAAAGAAGGAAAGAAAGAAAGAAAGAGAAAGAAAGAAAAGAAGAUUGUAGCUAGGGGGAGAGUAGGUGAAAAGAUGAACAACAUGACCGGGAAGAUUUCCUAAUCUCACCACAGCCUGGCUCUACCUUAAG